CAGUAGCCACGGGAAUACGUAGGUGGCAAGCGUUGUCCGGAAUUAUUGGGCGUAAAGGGCGCGUAGGCGGGCGAAUAAGUCAGGGGUGAAAUCCCAAGGCUCAACCUUGGAACUGCCUUUGAUACUGUUUGUCUUGAGUUCGAGAGAGGUAAGUGGAACUGCGAGUGUAGAGGUGAAAUUCGUAGAUAUUCGCAAGAACACCAGUGGCGAAGGCGGCUUACUGGCUCGAUACUGACGCUGAGGUGCGAAAGCGUGGGGAGCAAACAGGAUCAGAUACCCGAGUAGUCCCUGUCUCUUAUAC
This 301-nucleotide ribosomal RNA is filed under the name uncultured bacterium. RNAcentral describes it as "partial 16S ribosomal RNA". It matches the Rfam family "Bacterial small subunit ribosomal RNA", at positions 509 to 807 of the family's 1533-position model. The record is from RNAcentral.